RNAcentral lists this ribosomal RNA (460 nucleotides) under uncultured bacterium. RNAcentral's name for it is "partial 16S ribosomal RNA". It matches the Rfam family "Bacterial small subunit ribosomal RNA", at positions 338 to 795 of the family's 1533-position model. The record is from RNAcentral.
CCUACGGGAGGCAGCAGUGAGGAAUAUUGGUCAAUGGACGAGAGUCUGAACCAGCCAAGUAGCGUGAAGGAUGACUGCCCUAUGGGUUGUAAACUUCUUUUAUAUGGGAAUAAAAUGUUCCACGUGUGGGAUUUUGUAUGUACCAUAUGAAUAAGGAUCGGCUAACUCCGUGCCAGCAGCCGCGGUAAUACGGAGGAUCUGAGCGUUAUCCGGAUUUAUUGGGUUUAAAGGGAGCGUAGGUGGAUUGUUAAGUCAGUUGUGAAAGUUUGCGGCUCAACCGUAAAAUUGCAGUUGAAACUGGCAGUCUUGAGUACAGUAGAGGUGGGCGGAAUUCGUGGUGUAGCGGUGAAAUGCUUAGAUAUCACGAAGAACUCCGAUUGCGAAGGCAGUUCACUGGACUGCAACUGACACUGAGGCUCGAAAGUGUGGGUAUCAAACAGGAUUAGAUACCCCUGUAGUC